Molecule: ribosomal RNA, 484 nt
Filed under: uncultured bacterium
Lineage: Bacteria
Description: partial 16S ribosomal RNA
Rfam family: Bacterial small subunit ribosomal RNA
Source: RNAcentral
AUUGAACGCUGGCGGCAGGCCUAACACAUGCAAGUCGAGCGGAUGAAGGGAGCUUGCUCCUGGAUUCAGCGGCGGACGGGUGAGUAAUGCCUAGGAAUCUGCCUGGUAGUGGGGGAUAACGUCCGGAAACGGGCGCUAAUACCGCAUACGUCCUGAGGGAGAAAGUGGGGGAUCUUCGGACCUCGCGCUAUCAGAUGAGCCCAGGUCGGAUUAGCUAGUUGGUGGGGUAAAGGCCUACCAAGGCGACGAUCCGUAACUGGUCUGAGAGGAUGAUCAGUCACACUGGAACUGAGACACGGUCCAGACUCCUACGGGAGGCAGCAGUGGGGAAUAUUGGACAAUGGGCGAAAGCCUGAUCCAGCCAUGCCGCGUGUGUGAAGAAGGUCUUCGGAUUGUAAAGCACUUUAAGUUGGGAGGAAGGGCAGUAAGUUAAUACCUUGCUGUUUUGACGUUACCAACAGAAUAAGCACCGGCUAACUUCGUG